RNAcentral lists this ribosomal RNA (254 nucleotides) under uncultured bacterium. RNAcentral's name for it is "partial 16S ribosomal RNA". It matches the Rfam family "Bacterial small subunit ribosomal RNA", at positions 524 to 776 of the family's 1533-position model. The record is from RNAcentral.
UACGUAGGGGGCAAGCGUUGUCCGGAAUCAUUGGGCGUAAAGAGCGUGUAGGCGGCCAGAAAAGUCCGCUGUGAAAACUCGAGGCUCAACUUCGAGCUGUCGGUGGAAACUUUCUGGCUAGAGUCCGGAAGAGGAGAAUGGAAUUCCUGGUGUAGCGGUGAAAUGCGUAGAUAUCUGGAGGAACACCGGUGGCGAAGGCGGCAUCCUGGACCAAUUCUGACGCUGAGUGAGCGAAAGCCAGGGGAGCAAACGGG